GUUGCGUUGACAGCGGGUGUGUGUGUGUGCGCACCGCGCGCGGCCGCAGCUUCACCGACGGCUCGAUACCGGUACCGAGGAGCGCGUGGAACCGAACAGGUGGCGAGGAUCUGAUGGGAGGCGGAGUCUGACAAACGCUAUCGUGACGUCGUUACCUCGGUGUAGGCGGAGCUUCAGGAGGAUGAAGAUUGGCUCUGCGCUCUUCCGCCACACCUCACUCUGGUUUGUGAAAUCAAAUCAAACUUCAUACGUACAGAUAUAAUUUUAGACACACACACACACACACGCACACACACACACACACACACACACACACACACACACACAUACGUAGUGUGUUAUUCACAUUUUUAAAUCAAAGUUAAAGGCACUUUUUUUCUCUACUGCAUAUGAUUGAGAGAGAGACUUUUUGUCAUGUUGUUGAUGUAAUGAUGAUUUUAAUUGAUUUUACUGAUUUUACUGAUGAUUUUAAAUGUUCUUAUUGAUUUUAAACAAUUGAAUGUUUUAUCAUGUAAAGCACAUUGAGUUGCCUUGUGUAUGAAAUGCGCUAUAUAAAUAAAUUUGCCUUGCCUUGUGUUUCCUACAGGUGUUUACUGAUGGCACUCUCAGCACCCCUUGGAAUUCUCGGGGCCAAUCAGGAGGAGCCGUGUGGAGGGAGGGACUGUUCAAGGUGUCAGUGUUUACCUGCUAAAGGAGCAAGAGUGAGCACACGCACACACACACAC
This 725-nucleotide long non-coding RNA is filed under the name Gouania willdenowi (blunt-snouted clingfish). RNAcentral's name for it is "lncRNA (ENSGWIG00000008220.1)". The record is from RNAcentral. Lineage: Eukaryota; Metazoa; Chordata; Actinopteri; Blenniiformes; Gobiesocidae.